AUUGAACGCUGGCGGCAUGCCUAACACAUGCAAGUCGAACGGCAGCACGGGAGCUUGCUCCUGGUGGCGAGUGGCGGACGGGUGAGUAAUGCAUAGGAAUCUGCCCAGUAGCGGGGGACAACUUGGGGAAACUCAAGCUAAUACCGCAUGCGCCCUACGGGGGAAAGCGGGGGACCUUCGGGCCUCGCACUAUUGGAUGAGCCUAUGUCAGAUUAGCUUGUUGGUGGGGUAACGGCCUACCAAGGCGACGAUCUGUAGCUGGUCUGAGAGGACGAUCAGCCACACUGGGACUGAGACACGGCCCAGACUCCUACGGGAGGCAGCAGUGGGGAAUAUUGCACAAUGGGCGAAAGCCUGAUGCAGCAAUGCCGCGUGAGCGAUGAAGGCCUUAGGGUUGUAAAGCUCUUUCAGGGGGGAAGAUAAUGACUGUACCCCCAGAAGAAGCCCGGCUAACUCCGUGCCAGCAGCCGCGGUAAAGUAGACG
RNAcentral lists this ribosomal RNA (484 nucleotides) under uncultured bacterium. RNAcentral describes it as "bacterial SSU rRNA". It matches the Rfam family "Bacterial small subunit ribosomal RNA", at positions 29 to 531 of the family's 1533-position model. The record is from RNAcentral.